This 253-nucleotide ribosomal RNA is filed under the name uncultured bacterium. Its description in RNAcentral is "partial 16S ribosomal RNA". It matches the Rfam family "Bacterial small subunit ribosomal RNA", at positions 524 to 776 of the family's 1533-position model. The record is from RNAcentral.
UACGAAGGGGGCUAGCGUUGCUCGGAAUCACUGGGCGUAAAGCGCACGUAGGCGGCUUUUUAAGUCAGGGGUGAAAUCCUGGAGCUCAACUCCAGAACUGCCUUUGAUACUGAGAAGCUUGAGUCCGGGAGAGGUGAGUGGAAUUCCCAGUGUAGCGGUGAAAUGCGUAGAUAUUGGGAGGAACACCAGUGGCGAAGGCGGCUCACUGGACCGGUACUGACGCUGAGACGCGAAAGCCAGGGGAGCAAACGGG